Molecule: long non-coding RNA, 1056 nt
Filed under: Vombatus ursinus (common wombat)
Lineage: Eukaryota; Metazoa; Chordata; Mammalia; Diprotodontia; Vombatidae
Description: lncRNA (ENSVURG00010010445.1)
Source: RNAcentral
GUCACACUGAAAGCCAGAGCUCAGGUCAAAGACUCGGUGAUUGCUUUUCAUCUUUAACUGUAAGUGUGAGUGCACAGAGUCUCUUCCCUGGGGUCAGUUUCCUCCAGAGGGUUGGACUGCAUGGAUUGCUAAAGUCCCUUCCAGCUCUGACCUUCUAGGAUCCUAAGAGAACGAAGGGUGAGAGGAAUGUGCAUUAGAAGCUGUGGCAGGACUGCGGGGAGGAAGUAACACGCUUGCGCUGACAGGAGAGGCAGGAAGGAGGGAGGAGCAAGCCACAGGCUGGGGGAGGAAGAGGAAGAGAAGGAGGAGGAGGAGGAUGGCAGCAGCUCCGCUGCCACCGCUGGUCACCUUGGUUUGGGCUGGAGUUCUGCUCCUCCCAACAGAGUCCCAUGGCGCUGUCUUUGCUCAGCCCCAGACCCUGCCUUUCUCUUGGAACCUUGGGCAGAUGGCAAGGGCCCUUCAGUUGGACUGGCCACCAGGUUCUCCCAAGGCAGCCCUGCUGGCCCAGGCCCUAGAGCGGCUCCUUGAGGCAGAGGCUGGGUGGCGGGAGACCAAGGCUGAAGCUGCUGCCCUGGCCCAGCUCCUCUUGCACCUGUGGGGAGGCUCCCAUCUUGAGCCUGAGGUCAACAUGGAGGAGACAGUGUCACUUGGUCCCAAGGCCCAGGCCAAGGAUGAGGCAGCAGAUUCCAAGCAGGCACUCCUCAGAUUUGUGAUGAGCCAGCUGUUGGCCAAGAUGUCGGAGACCCAAAUCCCUCCCAUCUUGGUCAGGGGGGAACCAUGGCCCCGGCAACGUCGUCAUUUGCGCCGGGACCUGGGGCCAGGUCCUGCUUCCGUGUCACAUGGGACUGCACUACAGCGCCUGAACCGCCUGGAGGCCUUGGGAGCCAAGGGCAGGGCUCAGGUGCAGUGGGGAGUACCACUUGCUACCACACGCUACUGGCCAGAGUGACAGGGUCUCCAUCCACCCUUGCUUCCUGUCUCUCUCCUCCAUCAUGCAUGUUUAUCCCCAGCCUUGGCACCCAAGCUUAAUAAAAUAGCCUCCUUCGUGCCCCUGCA